This 74-nucleotide transfer RNA is filed under the name Archaeoglobus profundus DSM 5631. Its description in RNAcentral is "tRNA-Pro (GGG) (tRNA-Pro-GGG-1-1)". Lineage: Archaea; Methanobacteriati; Methanobacteriota; Archaeoglobi; Archaeoglobales; Archaeoglobaceae. The record is from RNAcentral.
GGGGCCGUGGGGUAGCCUGGCUAUCCUUCCGUCUUGGGGGGGCGGAGACCCGGAUUCAAAUUCCGGCGGCCCCA